This is a long non-coding RNA of Phyllopteryx taeniolatus (common seadragon), 1779 nucleotides long. RefSeq lists it as uncharacterized. NCBI's taxonomy places the organism in Eukaryota, Metazoa, Chordata, Actinopteri, Syngnathiformes, Syngnathidae. The record is from RefSeq and is a predicted model, not a curated record. The transcript is spliced from 3 exons.
UUGUCUGGCAGCUUGACAGGAAAUAGCCUUGAGCCUGAUCAGAUGGAGAGAGAAAAAAAUCUAUCAACGUGAGGAUGAAAGCCAGGUAAACGUCACAUUAUUGAUGACGGGAAAAGCUGAAAUGAUUGGAGUUGGCCGCCACGCGCAGCUGCUUGAUUGGCAGCUCGUCAAGGCCAAAGUUACAUCAGGUGCAGGAAAGGGGGCGGGACCAAAGGCGACGCAGAGGACCCACCGUGCGGACGCUGUACUUGGUGUCAAAAUCAAGAGUUCUUGCUUUGCCAGAAGCUACAAAACCUCAGGGUUCUUCCGUCGACAUGGCCGAAGAGCGGAUUCCUGGACGCCGUUCCUUCAAAGUAGGCUGGAUGAUGCCACAAAAGCAGCGGACGGAGUGAAUCGUCCGCUGGACCUGAAGGCCCCUCCCCCUUGUGUGUGCUGCUAUUUAUUUGCAAACAUACGUGACAAAGGCUCACCAGUUUUUCAUUUGAACCACAAAGUUAAAAACUAAACUGUGGGAGGAGAGUUAGACUUUAAUUGAGCAAAUAAGAACUGCUAUUUACUUCGCGUGGUUCCCUCACACCCUGCAAAGCCACAUUUUUCAAUAAAAUAAAAAUGUUUUGUGCGAGUGUUCAGGGAACACCAAACGUGGAGAAAAGUGCACCUAAACAAAAUCCACCCAUUUUUUUCUUAAUUUAACACUGUCAACCACAAGGCCUGGGGGCCACAUUAAUUUGUGGCCCGUGAAAGCAAAUCUAUAGACUUUGUUUCUUGCUAAAAUAACAUUUUUGUUACCAAUCCCCAUUUCACUGGCUUCUGAUUGCAAAUAUAGUUAUUCGAUUUUUUUGUGUGUAUAUGUGUUGGCCCUCCGAGGGAAACCUCCACAAAGCAGAUGUGAUAAUCACUUCCCUAAAUUUAAAGAUACAAAGAUAGCAACUUAAAUGUUUAAAUAUUUGACAUUUGCAAAGCCUAAUCGAAACUUAUUUUAAAAAAAAAAAUACUUUUUACAAAGCACUAAUGUGAGAACAUUUUUAGACCCUGGUUGCAGGGAAGUAAUGCCCCUCGUUAAAGAAAAUAUUGAACUCUAAUUUGUAAAUUUUUUUUUUAGAAAGCACCAAUGUAUAUUAGACAAUUAUGUAUUGUUUUAUAAUCCUGAAUUUUAGACCCGAGCUGCAGUCAAAAUUGUAAGAAAUAAAUUUGGUUUCUAAACUUUAAAAAUGUUUUCAGAAAGAACUAAUAUGCAUUACAAAUUAGUAUUUUUAGACCCUGGCUGCAGGUAAGUAGUGCACUUCAUACGGCCUCAAUUAAUUGACAUUUCCAAGCCUAAAGAUAAUCAAAAUUUAACUUGAAUUUUAUUUGGGAAAAAAAGGAUUUAGAUAAAAAUAUUUUAAUAUUUUUUUAAAUUCUCUAUUAUGCUUAUAUAAAUGACUGGCUACCAGAAACUAGUGCAAUCCUUAUGGCCUCAACCACUUCAUUGACUUAAAAAAAACAUACCUGUUCUUUUGAAGGUUCGUCUCGUGCAAAUGAAAGUUUCACAGUCACACGAAAAACCUUUUUGAUUUUCAAUGACGUAACGCAUUUGAAAAAAUGUCUAUGAUACACAAACAUAUAACAAUAUUGCAUACCAUUCAUGUCUGCAUUGAUUCUGCAUCUUAUGGCCAACAGAAUUGCUGGCGUAAGUACGUAGUUAUUUGUCCCCACAACAACAACAAACCCAUCCGAGCGAGGACCCCCCUCGAGGCAACAACACAUUUGAUUUGCAAAUAAAGCUCAAUGUACACCAUG